Long non-coding RNA from Aethalodelphis obliquidens (Pacific white-sided dolphin), 2506 nucleotides. RefSeq lists it as uncharacterized. Lineage: Eukaryota; Metazoa; Chordata; Mammalia; Artiodactyla; Delphinidae. The record is from RefSeq and is a predicted model, not a curated record. The transcript has 5 exons.
ACUCUUUCAUUUUGGCUCGUCCUUAACUGGGAUGGCGUCGAGCUGGGGUUACCUGAGCUCAUGUCCUUGUCCCCUGACACGCGGGAAAAGGAGACCGACACCAAAAGAGAAUAUGCUGAGUCGUUGCUUUAGUUCUUGAAUCCAGUGGUGCCUGAGGCCACGUCUGUAGCUGCCGUUUGUUACCUGAACCAGUUUGGGUGAUGCAGGAACACCUUAGAGUCAUCCCAGCAAUGUUCCCAAUCACUGAUUUGCUGGAUUGCUUCUGUGAACAGCGGCAGGAGACAGCUUGUCCGUUCCUGGUGGAGACAGCAAAACCUGUGGUCGCUCGCGAAGGUUCCACCAACCCACCACGUGGUGUGAAGUCUUCAGCGUGGGUUCAGGGCUGGAGACUGGCACGGCCAGGACCAUGGUGAGACAAGAGAGUCAAGACUGAAGGAGAUGUCACCCUCAGGGCCACGCAAGUGCAGGGUCAGCGUGAAAAAGGAGCCCUUCCUUACAUUUUGGACAACAGGUGCCUUUCUGCCCCACCUGGUCUCACCCCUUUAUACCAUCCUUUUCCACGAGAACAACACAAAACUGAGAAUGUCAGGGUUGGAGGAGGCAGGACUUCCUUGGGUCCAGUGCUUAAGACUCCAGGCUUCCACUGCAGGGGGCGCGGGUUGGAUCCCUGGUGGGGGAACUAAGAUCCCGCAUGCCGCGCUUCACGGCCACAAAAAAAGAAAAAAAUGUUGGAGGAGGCCUUUAAUGUCCUAGGACUCCCCUGCUUCUCCACAUGUGGUCCAUGGAGACGCAGCAGGGUCUUCAAUGUAGAUUCCUGGGCCCAAGCCCAGACCAACAGAUUCAGAAUCUUCGGGAGGUGGGGCGGGAACCUGCAUUUUAAUAAGGAGCCUCAGGCACUUCUGAUAAACUAACAGUGGAGAGCUUCUCCUUGAUGCUCACCUGUCACAGCAUACCUUACCCAGCCUCCCGAAGUCGCCUGUUUUAGAUCUAAAAAAAACGGCGGUUAGUCUAUCACACUGGGCACCAUUCUGUCUCCCUGUAACUUCACUCUGUCUCAGAUCCAGAGUCUGGAAUGACACUGUAUAGGUUUCAUCUCUUUUCUACAUCUCAAUCCUCGAGCACUAAGGUGUCUCUCGGGUCCUCAGCCCUCUUCAAGGACCUUAAGCCUCUUUAAGUUAAACAGUUGGUGUUCAGUCGACUCUUCCUCACAAUCCACCAGCACGUAGAGAGAGCAAGAAAGGAGAAGAGGCUGCCAGAUACGCCUGCACUACCAACUAAAGUUAAGGCCCUGAGAUGGAAUGUUUCCAGCACUAAUUCACAACUCCACUAAAUUGUAACUUCGGCCCUGAAUUUUAACAGCCCACCUUUCAAACGCUUCCCGGGGUUGCGCUGCUGCCCCCUUCCGGCCCUGGGUAGUACUGCAGGCUGUCGAAGCUGGCGAUGGGGAUGCGCUUUCCCCACACGUGGGAGUGGGAACGCGAGAUAAUCCGUCCGUCCCAGGGAAAGCCAGGAGUUGCUGUCCUGCAGCAGGCGAGAAAUCCGAGACGAGAAACAGAGAAAGGAAGCGUGCGGCGGGGAGGGGGGGACCCGCCAGCGAAGAGAAGACCUGGAAGAUGUAGACCUGGACCACCCCGAACCCACAGUGGCCCAGUUCUGCCCGGUUCUGGAUCUGGCUCUUUCGUCAGCUCAAAAGGCCUGUCGGUACACAUGUGGACAUCAUUUACAUUGAUGAGGUCGUACUGGACACACCCCUCUGCCCCCUCUGCUUGUGAACUUCGUCAGCAAGCGAGAACAAUGCCGGGGAUGUGGAGAAGGCGUGUCAUUGGUGCAUUUCUAAGAUUGCCAGCAGUGGUGAGUCACAGCUCUGAGAAAUGUCCUAGUUUUGAAGGAUUUGGGCUUCUGAAAUCACAUGACUUGUUAGAGCCCAGAGUGAACCCUGUGGGUGGUCUGUGCUUGGCUCAGGGUGGCCCCAGGGUAGACCUGGGAGGGGAUAGUGUCCUGACCUCUGUUGAUGCCCCUACUUCUACUCCUUAUUUAAGAACGUUUAGCUUUUCGUAGUGCACAGGAUGUAUUUUCAACAUAAUCUGUGUUUGGAAAAUGUUUGAGUGAAUGGAGUCACUGAUACAACCAACAUGUAAUGGCAGCGGAGCUAGGGGACGUGCAGGGAGAUGUGAGUGGAUUUGGAUUGGGGUGGUUUCCCGCACCCCCAUCCUACCCUGUCUCCUUGCCAAAUUGGACUUUCCCCACCAUCUCCUGGUGGGGCCCUUCUGUCCAGAGGGGUUGGGCCACAUUACAGAAGGCCCAGGCUAUAUCAUAACAUUUGGAAUAUCCUUAAAACAAAUCCCAGCCCUUGGGGCUCCUUGGGGUGAAAGCAUUUACCUCCUACUGAGACGUGUGGUCUGUCUUUUAUACAGAUGAUGUGUGAAUGAAGGGAAUCUCGUGGGACGUCUUUUUUUUUUAACCUUAAUUUCUUUCUUUUUUUAACCUUAAUUUCUUUUUUUUUAAC